Molecule: ribosomal RNA, 1556 nt
Filed under: Klebsiella variicola
Lineage: Bacteria; Pseudomonadati; Pseudomonadota; Gammaproteobacteria; Enterobacterales; Enterobacteriaceae
Description: 16S ribosomal RNA
Rfam family: Bacterial small subunit ribosomal RNA
Source: RNAcentral
ACUUAAAUUGAAGAGUUUGAUCAUGGCUCAGAUUGAACGCUGGCGGCAGGCCUAACACAUGCAAGUCGAGCGGUAGCACAGAGAGCUUGCUCUCGGGUGACGAGCGGCGGACGGGUGAGUAAUGUCUGGGAAACUGCCUGAUGGAGGGGGAUAACUACUGGAAACGGUAGCUAAUACCGCAUAACGUCGCAAGACCAAAGUGGGGGACCUUCGGGCCUCAUGCCAUCAGAUGUGCCCAGAUGGGAUUAGCUGGUAGGUGGGGUAACGGCUCACCUAGGCGACGAUCCCUAGCUGGUCUGAGAGGAUGACCAGCCACACUGGAACUGAGACACGGUCCAGACUCCUACGGGAGGCAGCAGUGGGGAAUAUUGCACAAUGGGCGCAAGCCUGAUGCAGCCAUGCCGCGUGUGUGAAGAAGGCCUUCGGGUUGUAAAGCACUUUCAGCGGGGAGGAAGGCGAUAAGGUUAAUAACCUUGUCGAUUGACGUUACCCGCAGAAGAAGCACCGGCUAACUCCGUGCCAGCAGCCGCGGUAAUACGGAGGGUGCAAGCGUUAAUCGGAAUUACUGGGCGUAAAGCGCACGCAGGCGGUCUGUCAAGUCGGAUGUGAAAUCCCCGGGCUCAACCUGGGAACUGCAUUCGAAACUGGCAGGCUAGAGUCUUGUAGAGGGGGGUAGAAUUCCAGGUGUAGCGGUGAAAUGCGUAGAGAUCUGGAGGAAUACCGGUGGCGAAGGCGGCCCCCUGGACAAAGACUGACGCUCAGGUGCGAAAGCGUGGGGAGCAAACAGGAUUAGAUACCCUGGUAGUCCACGCUGUAAACGAUGUCGAUUUGGAGGUUGUGCCCUUGAGGCGUGGCUUCCGGAGCUAACGCGUUAAAUCGACCGCCUGGGGAGUACGGCCGCAAGGUUAAAACUCAAAUGAAUUGACGGGGGCCCGCACAAGCGGUGGAGCAUGUGGUUUAAUUCGAUGCAACGCGAAGAACCUUACCUGGUCUUGACAUCCACAGAACUUUCCAGAGAUGGAUUGGUGCCUUCGGGAACUGUGAGACAGGUGCUGCAUGGCUGUCGUCAGCUCGUGUUGUGAAAUGUUGGGUUAAGUCCCGCAACGAGCGCAACCCUUAUCCUUUGUUGCCAGCGGUUAGGCCGGGAACUCAAAGGAGACUGCCAGUGAUAAACUGGAGGAAGGUGGGGAUGACGUCAAGUCAUCAUGGCCCUUACGACCAGGGCUACACACGUGCUACAAUGGCAUAUACAAAGAGAAAGCGACCUCGCGAGAGCAAGCGGACCUCAUAAAGUAUGUCGUAGUCCGGAUUGGAGUCUGCAACUCGACUCCAUGAAGUCGGAAUCGCUAGUAAUCGUAGAUCAGAAUGCUACGGUGAAUACGUUCCCGGGCCUUGUACACACCGCCCGUCACACCAUGGGAGUGGGUUGCAAAAGAAGUAGGUAGCUUUAACCUUCGGGAGGGCGCUUACCACUUUGUGAUUCAUGACUGGGGUGAAGUCGUAACAAGGUAACCGUAGGGGAACCUGCGGUUGGAUCACCUCCUUACCUUAAAGAA